RNAcentral lists this ribosomal RNA (302 nucleotides) under uncultured Nitrososphaerota archaeon. RNAcentral describes it as "bacterial SSU rRNA". It matches the Rfam family "Archaeal small subunit ribosomal RNA", at positions 338 to 637 of the family's 1478-position model. The record is from RNAcentral. Lineage: Archaea; Thermoproteati; Nitrososphaerota.
CGAGAAAAACUUUAGCAAUGUGCGAAAGCACGACAAGGUUAAUCCGAGUGGUUUCUGCUAAAGGAACCUUUUGUCAGUCCUAGAAACACUGGUGAAUAAGGGGUGGGCAAGUUCUGGUGUCAGCCGGCCGCGGUAAAACCAGCACCUCAAGUGGUCAGGAUGAUUAUUGGGCCUAAAAGCAUCCGUAAGCCUGCUUUGUUAGUUUUCGGUUAAAUCCAUUCGCUUAACGAAUGGGCUAGCCGGGAAUACUGCAAAGCUAGGGAGUGGGAGAGGUAGACGGUACUCGGUAGGAAGGGGUAAAU